AAUACCCAAUCCUGACACAGGGAGGUAGUGACAAGAAAUAACAAUACAGGGCGAAUGUCUUGUAAUUGGAAUGAUGGUGACCCAAACCCUCACCAGAGUAGCAAUUGGAGGGCAAGUCUGGUGCCAGCAGCCGCGGUAAUUCCAGCUCCAAUAGCGUAUAUUAAACUUGUUGCAGUUAAAAAGCUCGUAGUUGUAUUUUUGCGUUGACGGUUUGACCAUUUGGUUGGUUAUUUCGUUUUCGCUUUUGGGAAUUUCCCUUUUUACUUUGAGAAAAUUAGAGUGUUUCAAGCAGACUUUUGUCUUGAAUACUUCAGCAUGGAAUAAUAGAGUAGGACUUUGGUUCUAUUUUGUUGGUUAUUGAACCUUAGUAAUGGUUAAUAGGAACGGUUGGGGGCAUUCGUAUUUAA
Molecule: ribosomal RNA, 407 nt
Filed under: Babesia canis
Lineage: Eukaryota; Apicomplexa; Aconoidasida; Piroplasmida; Babesiidae
Description: SSU rRNA
Rfam family: Eukaryotic small subunit ribosomal RNA
Source: RNAcentral